AAGUGGUACGCGAGCUGGGUUUAGAACGUCGUGAGACAGUUCGGUCCCUAUCUGCCGUGGGCGCUGGAGAACUGAGGGGGGCUGCUCCUAGUACGAGAGGACCGGAGUGGACGCAUCACUGGUGUUCGGGUUGUCAUGCCAAUGGCACUGCCCGGUAGCUAAAUGCGGAAGAGAUAAGUGCUGAAAGCAUCUAAGCACGAAACUUGCCCCGAGAUGAGUUCUCCCUGACUCCUUGAGAGUCCUGAAGGAACGUUGAAGACGACGACGUUGAUAGGCCGGGUGUGUAAGCGCAGCGAUGCGUUGAGC
This 306-nucleotide ribosomal RNA is filed under the name Serratia sp. RJAL6. RNAcentral's name for it is "Enterobacter sp. RJAL6 partial 23S ribosomal RNA". It matches the Rfam family "Bacterial large subunit ribosomal RNA", at positions 2591 to 2891 of the family's 2925-position model. The record is from RNAcentral. Lineage: Bacteria; Pseudomonadati; Pseudomonadota; Gammaproteobacteria; Enterobacterales; Yersiniaceae.